Molecule: ribosomal RNA, 497 nt
Filed under: uncultured bacterium
Lineage: Bacteria
Description: partial 16S ribosomal RNA
Rfam family: Bacterial small subunit ribosomal RNA
Source: RNAcentral
GACGAACGCUGGCGGCGUGCCUAAUACAUGCAAGUUGGGCGCUGAAGGUUGGUACUUGUACCAACUGGAUGAGCAGCGAACGGGUGAGUAACGCGUGGGGAAUCUGCCUUUGAGCGGGGGACAACAUUUGGAAACGAAUGCUAAUACCGCAUAAAAACUUUAAACACAAGUUUUAAGUUUGAAAGAUGCAAUUGCAUCACUCAAAGAUGAUCCCGCGUUGUAUUAGCUAGUUGGUGAGGUAAAGGCUCACCAAGGCGAUGAUACAUAGCCGACCUGAGAGGGUGAUCGGCCACAUUGGGACUGAGACACGGCCCAAACUCCUACGGGAGGCAGCAGUAGGGAAUCUUCGGCAAUGGACGAAAGUCUGACCGAGCAACGCCGCGUGAGUGAAGAAGGUUUUCGGAUCGUAAAACUCUGUUGGUAGAGAAGAACGUUGGUGAGAGUGGAAAGCUCAUCAAGUGACGGUAACUACCCAGAAAGGGACGGCUAACUACGUG